RNAcentral lists this ribosomal RNA (293 nucleotides) under uncultured bacterium. Its description in RNAcentral is "partial 16S ribosomal RNA". It matches the Rfam family "Archaeal small subunit ribosomal RNA", at positions 455 to 747 of the family's 1478-position model. The record is from RNAcentral.
GUGCCAGCCGCCGCGGUAACACCGGCAGCUCGAGUGAUGGCCGAUUUUAUUGGGCCUAAAGCGUCCGUAGCCUGCCGUACGGGUCCGUCGGGAAAUCCGCCCGCUUAACGGGCGGACGUCCGGCGGAAACCAUACGGCUUGGGACCAGAGGACCCGAGGGGUACGUCGGGGGUAGGAGUGAAAUCCCGUAAUCCCGGACGGACUACCGAUGGCGAAAGCACUCUGAGAAGACGGCUUCGACAGUGAGGGACGAAAGCUCGGGUCUCAAACCGGAUUAGAUACCCCUGUAGUCC